GACGAACGCUGGCGGCGUGCUUAACACAUGCAAGUCGAACGGUAAGGCCCUUCGGGGUACACGAGUGGCGAACGGGUGAGUAACACGUGGGUGAUCUGCCCUGCACUUUGGGAUAAGCCUGGGAAACUGGGUCUAAUACCGGAUAGGACCACUGCCUGCAUGGGUGGUGGUGGAAAGCUUUUGCGGUGUGGGAUGGGCCCGCGGCCUAUCAGCUUGUUGGUGGGGUGAUGGCCUACCAAGGCGACGAUGGGUAGCCGGCCUGAGUGGGUGACCGGCCACACUGGGACUGAGAUACGGCCCAGACUCCUACGGGAGGCAGCAGUGGGGAAUAUUGCACAAUGGGCGCAAGCCUGAUGCAGCGACGCCGCGUGAGGGAUGACGGCCUUCGGGUUGUAAACCUCUUUCAGCACCGACGAAGCGCAAGUGACGGUAGGUGCAGAAGAAGGACCGGCCAGCUACGUGCCAGCCGCCGCAGUAA
RNAcentral lists this ribosomal RNA (478 nucleotides) under uncultured bacterium. Its description in RNAcentral is "partial 16S ribosomal RNA". It matches the Rfam family "Bacterial small subunit ribosomal RNA", at positions 28 to 523 of the family's 1533-position model. The record is from RNAcentral.